Molecule: ribosomal RNA, 275 nt
Filed under: uncultured bacterium
Lineage: Bacteria
Description: partial 16S ribosomal RNA
Rfam family: Bacterial small subunit ribosomal RNA
Source: RNAcentral
CCUACGGGAGGCUGCAGUGAGGAAUAUUGGGCAAUGGACGGAAGUCUGACCCAGCCAUGCCGCGUGAAGGAUGAAGGCGUUCUGCGUUGUAAACUUCUUUUAUCAGGGAAGAAAAGCACUGUUUCUACGGUGUCCGACGGUACCUGAGGAAUAAGCACCGGCUAACUCCGUGCCAGCAGCCGCGGUAAUACGGAGGGUGCGAGCGUUAUCCGGAUUUACUGGGUUUAAAGGGUGUGUAGGCGGGCUAUUAAGUCAGUGGUGAAAUCCCGGGGCUC